RNAcentral lists this ribosomal RNA (106 nucleotides) under Labrus bergylta (ballan wrasse). Lineage: Eukaryota; Metazoa; Chordata; Actinopteri; Labriformes; Labridae. The record is from RNAcentral.
GCUUACGGCCAUACCACCCUGAACACGCCCAUCUCGGAAGCUAAGCAGGGUCGGGCCUGGUUAGUACUUGGAUGGAGACCGCCUGGAAUACCAGGUGCUGUAAGCU